Molecule: ribosomal RNA, 496 nt
Filed under: uncultured bacterium
Lineage: Bacteria
Description: partial 16S ribosomal RNA
Rfam family: Bacterial small subunit ribosomal RNA
Source: RNAcentral
AUGCACGCUGGCGGCGUGCCUAAUACAUGCCAGUCGAGCGAACAGACGAGGAGCUUGCUCCUUCGACGUUAGCGGCGGACGGGUGAGUAACACGUAGGUAACCUACCUAUAAGACUGGGAUAACUUCGGGAAACCGGAGCUAAUACCGGAUAAUAUUUCGAACCGCAUGGUUCGAUAGUGAAAGAUGGCUUUGCUAUCACUUAUAGAUGGACCUGCGCCGUAUUAGCUAGUUGGUAAGGUAACGGCUUACCAAGGCAACGAUACGUAGCCGACCUGAGAGGGUGAUCGGCCACACUGGAACUGAGACACGGUCCAGACUCCUACGGGAGGCAGCAGUAGGGAAUCUUCCGCAAUGGGCGAAAGCCUGACGGAGCAACGCCGCGUGAGUGAUGAAGGUCUUCGGAUCGUAAAACUCUGUUAUUAGGGAAGAACAAACGUGUAAGUAACUGUGCACGUCUUGACGGUACCUAAUCAGAAAGCCACGGCUAACUACGUG